GAAGAGGCUAGGUGCAAAAUCUCUCAAAGAUCUUUUCCGAUGUAGAUUUGAUGUAAUAGAAUAUCGUCCGGGCAAAACUGCAAUUAUUAAUUUCUCCAAUUUGAUCAAUUUACAAAUCCGUCAAGUCACCAUCAAAUCCGAGUCCCCGAUUGGACAAAGUUUGACCUGUUUUAGCUUUCAAUGCACGAUCAGUGGUCGCGUGUUUUGUAUGUAAAGCCUGAUAUUGGUAGUUUUUAUUAACAGUGGUCUCUUGAACACGUGUGGACAUGAGGUGACGUGAACGUAGCUUCACAGACACACUGACCUGAUUAUCUCAUGUUUAAAGUUAAGCAAUCUGUCAGUUUUCUCCAUAAUUUCUUGUAAACAAACACUUUAAAGUUGAACAUCCACAAAGUGAUCCUUAAGUUAAUUUUUAAAAACAAAAAUAAAUUGUUCAUAAAAGCUGGUUAAUUUAUUUGAUUAAGUGAAUUUCAGAAUAAUUUUCCAAAUUUUCCUUUUGUCAUUUUUUUCAAUAAUUAUAAUAAUUAUUUUUUAAUAAAUCUAGUGCAUAAUGUUCUAAUCAGACUCAAUAAGCAGAUCAUUUCUCGAUGGGAAGAAUCACGGUUCCCGUCAUGAUUGGUUUUGCCGUGUCCUUCAUUGCCUCUCCAUUUUACCAUCUUUUAUUUUUUUUGUCCACAGUGGCGCUGCGACCCCAAAAUUCAAGAACUUGACCAUGGAGGAAAUGGCGAAGGAAAUGUCUGAACUUCUGUCUCGAGGUCCACAGGUCCAGGCCACCAAGGCGGCUGCUGGCACCAAGAAGUACGAGCUGAGCAAGUGGAAGUACGCUGAGUUGCGGGAUGCCAUCAACACCUCAUGUGGUGAGUGUUCAGUAGAUGUUUAAUUUGUCACUGCGCCACAUGAAUCAGCGACCAGCCGACCCUCCGCUGUAAAUCUCAAAGGGUUCUCUGGAAUUUAUCCCGAAGCAUCCUUCCAACUGAAAUACAGCUUCAAACAGGAACGUAGGUGACAGAAACCAGCUUCAGAAGGUUGCUUGAUGUAAAAUUGGUCCAAAAAA
Long non-coding RNA from Oryzias melastigma (Indian medaka), 1054 nucleotides. RefSeq lists it as uncharacterized. The transcript has 3 exons. NCBI's taxonomy places the organism in Eukaryota, Metazoa, Chordata, Actinopteri, Beloniformes, Adrianichthyidae. The record is from RefSeq and is a predicted model, not a curated record.